CCCUUAGAUGUUCUGGGCCGCACGCGCGCUACACUGAACAUAUCAGCUUGUUUUUCCCUUCCUGAGAAGGACGGGUAAACCCCUGAGCCAUGUUCAUGGUAGGGAUUGGGGCUUGCAAUUAUUCCCCACGAACCAGGAAUUCCUAGUAAACGCAAGUCAUCAGCUUGCAUUGAUUACGUCCCUGCCCUUUGUACACACCGCCCGUCGCACCUACCGAUUGAAUGGUCCGGUGAAAUCCUCGGAUUGAGACUUUGAUUUCUUCACGGAAAACGCUGUUUUAAAAAGUUGAUUAAACCUUACCAUUUAGAGGAAGGUGAAGUCGUAACA
Molecule: ribosomal RNA, 327 nt
Filed under: uncultured eukaryote
Lineage: Eukaryota
Description: partial 18S ribosomal RNA
Rfam family: Eukaryotic small subunit ribosomal RNA
Source: RNAcentral